This 17-nucleotide microRNA is filed under the name Corchorus capsularis. RNAcentral's name for it is "sRNA CCACVL1_20942". The record is from RNAcentral. Lineage: Eukaryota; Viridiplantae; Streptophyta; Magnoliopsida; Malvales; Malvaceae.
UACAAUUUCUUCCCUGU